UGUAGUAGAACUAGGCAGUGUUCCAAAGAGCAGAGAGGAGGCUGGUUUGAAUUACAUAAAGGAAAGAAUUUCUCUGUGCAGCUGGUAGUGAGCUCCUACAGGUGGCUGUGGAGCCUGAGAGCACUAGCCUGUUCAAAAAGUGACUGAGCAAACUUAUGGGCAACAGGCUUAUUAAGUGGGUGCUAAAGAGAGCAGGAGGAGUUGUAGCUGUUGUUUCUCAGAGCUCUGAAGAAGGAGAGGUGCUGAUGAAGGCUUGGGAGAGAUGUGUCUAGACCCAUCUUUUAUCAGAAUGACCUUGGUGGGACACAGUAUCAGAAUUUGUAGGUGGGAAGGAGUCCAGUGAAACCCUGUGACCUGGAAGAAGUGAGGAUUGGAAGAUACCAUCUGUAUGGGGCAUUGCUUCAGACCAGAAGAGUGCUUGUCUAAGGGGUAUAGGAUUUGGCUGGAGUAUAGGAUGUGGCAUCUCCACUGGCACCUUUACAACCAGAAACUUUUCAAUAAAACAAUUCCACUAUGA
Molecule: long non-coding RNA, 517 nt
Filed under: Struthio camelus australis
Lineage: Eukaryota; Metazoa; Chordata; Aves; Struthioniformes; Struthionidae
Description: lncRNA (ENSSCUG00000009693.1)
Source: RNAcentral